Molecule: long non-coding RNA, 4747 nt
Filed under: Sus scrofa (pig)
Lineage: Eukaryota; Metazoa; Chordata; Mammalia; Artiodactyla; Suidae
Description: lncRNA (ENSSSCG00000051833.1)
Source: RNAcentral
GGACCAGAAAUGUUUCUCCGUUAGAAUGAGUUCCUCCUUUCUAGGUCACACCUGUAGGAACUUCCUCUGGUGACAAGCAUCUGAGUGCUAAACGCCCUUAUUGGUGAGACCAGUACUGGGUAUCUUGUGCUGAGAGAGCCUUCUCGCCAUCUAGGGUCCUUCAGUAUGUCUGCGUUCUUGCAGAACCUUAUCUACUAAGUGAAUGAAGGAUUCUGCCACUUACCAAUAGCUCCACUGGCCAUAAAAUCAGGAGAAUCCUAUAUUCAUUGUGAGAUUCCUUCCCUCUAAGAUGUGGCAUCUGAUGUCAAGAAGCUUUAAAUGGGGCAAGAAGACACUUACCUAAAUUAAAAUAACCCAAUGAAGAAAGAGGGGGAAGCUAGAUGAGGAUAAAUGUGCACUAUGAAAUUAUUUAUCCUCCUCAUGACUCAACUGUGAAUUAGUAUUAAAGCAUGAGGUUUUAAAAUCCAUUUGUUUUCUUAGGUCCUUGUGCUGCCAUUCAUAAGCUUUUCAAUAUAGGUAAUUUAUGGCUUUAACUUGCAUCACUGUAAAGUGAUCAUUGCACCCCCACCUAAAGUUAUUGGUGAAUCACAUCUCUCAUCUAGUACAAUGCCGGACGUAUAAUCGUCUCUUGAAAAUAGAAGCAAUUAGAACACAACAUGAAUGGGUUAGGGACUUUUAUGUGUGUUUUUCCCCUCCCCAAAGGAGAGGUUAAAGUCAUACAGCAUUGGGAGUUCCCAUCAUGGCUCAGUGGUAAUGCACCCAACUAGUAUCCAGGAGGAUGUGGGUUCCAUCCUUGGCCUUGCUCAGUGGGUUAAGGAUCCAGCAUUGCCAUGAACAGUGGUGUGGGUCACAGACACAGCUUGGAUCUGGCUUUGCUGUGGCUGUAGUUAGGCCAGCAGCUGAAGCUCUGAUUCGACCCCUAGCCUGGGAACUUCCAUAUGCCAUGGGUGUGCCCCCCCCAAAAAAAAUCACACAGUAUAAUGUCCAGGUAUUUGUAGGAUGAUCAUUAAGUGUCCAGAAUAUUUUACAAAUUUCAUGAAGCAACUACAUCUAUUAGGAAUCACUAGGCUUUUACAGCUGAAAUCUGUUUUCUUUAUUUUUGAUUAUUUAAAAAAUUAUUUUAUUGGGGUAUAGUUGAUUUACAAUGUUGAAUUAGCUUCAGGUUUCCAUCAAAAUGAAUCAGUUAUAUAUAUAUGUAUAUCUCCAUUCUUUUUUCCCACAUGAGUUAUUACAGAACAUUGAUUAGAUCCCCUGAGUGGUAUGGUAGGUCAUUGUUAGAUACCUGUUUUGUAUACAGUUGUGUGUAUGUGUUAUCUAAUCCUCCCACUUUAUCCCUCCCCACCAUGGCUGCCUCUUUGGUAACCAUAAGUUUGAUUUCAAAGUCUGUUUCUGCUUUAUAAGUAAGUUAUUUUGUACCAUUUUUAUUAUAGUCCACAUAUAAGUGCUAUCAUAUAUUUGUCUUUGACUUAAUAUGAUAAUCUCUCCUUUUGAUUCUUAGAAAUAAAUUCUAAAGAUCAUGAUUUUUUGGUUUUCAAUGAUUUUGUAACUAUUUCUGCCAUCCAUAAUGCCAUCUUAAAAUAAAUGAAAUAAACAUUAAUGAAAUAAUAAACAUAUAGAUAAAUGCAUAGAUGAUAGUUGUGGCUGUAUAAUUGGAGACAGUUAAAUUCCCCAUGCUUUAUAACAUCUCCGUCUUGUGAUAAAACAAUGAGAACAAAAAAUGGAAUUAGUAAUAAGAAAGAAGAACUGUACCAAAAUUGUUUUAAGCUCAGGAUGGCAUAAUAAUGCGCUUAUUCAAAAGAAAGCCAUGUUUAUAUUGUUUAUAAAAAAAUUCUAAGAUAGACAAUAAAGUAGGGGGGAAAAAUUCUUGUUUCUCCACAGAAAAUCUCUUCUGGUUGUUGAAAUGUUAAAUUCUCUAGAGCCUAAGGAAGUGACUCUUCUAUGAUAAAGAAACCAGGGCUAUAGGAGGCUUAUUAUAUUGUUGGUUUUAGUCCAACAAUGACUUAUUCUUGCAAGUUAUUAGCGUGUUUCUGCUCUGCUAAAUUGAGAAUCUAUUAAAAUGAUCUGUGGUUUUUUUUAGUUUUGCCAAAGCAUCAGGGUUAUAGAGGAAAGUACAUAAGUUUAUAAAAUGUUAAAUAAAAGAUCAUAGACUUGAGUUUCUAGUUAAAGACAAGCUAAUUUGAUUUAAAAUUAGGAAAGCUUGAGCUUCACACUUGGAAUUCUUAGCAAAAUCAUGCACUUUAUGUGGGAAGUUCACAUUUUGAUAAGAAAUUUUGUCUUGAAUUGGGGUGAAAAAAUGGGAAACCAUUUAGGGAAACCAUCUGCUGCCAAAAUGGAAUAGAAAGAGAUGAGUUUCUUUUUUAUAGCCUUGGCUUCUAAAUGGCAGGUAGUUUUUGCAUCAUUUGCCUGGGAACCAUUCCCUUAAUUCUCAUUGGAUUCCCAUUUAAAGCUGCUUUUCAUAUUACAUGAAAUUUUAUCACUGGUGAUGAGAAUCCAGUAGCAGAAUUGGGAUGGAUGAAAAUUAUUUGUAAUAUGAAAAUGUUAUUUCCUCACUUGGAAUGACCACCUCUCCCUCUAACCAAUUUCUAUUAAUAUUUUAAGAGUCUGCUCUCUUGCUUAUCCUCUUGGAAUUAUUUCCACGGCUUUUCUUAUUCCCAGUGAAUUCCUAUGGUGGACUCUGUUCUAACAAAUUAAGUCUCUGGUUUUGUGUUAAACACAGUUCUAACUUGAAAUCUCAAGGGUAACAAAUCAUUAUCCCAAGUAAACUGAAAACUGCUUGAUAGAAGAAAGGCCAAGGCUAAUGAUGAGUAAAAUUGGCUUCAGUUAAAGAUCGGGCAUCCUUGAACUAUCUGAAGAACACUCUAUUUUCUAUAAAUGGCAUCUGGAUGAAAAAUGAGACCUAAUCUGUUGGCCAGGGUCCGAGGAGGCUGCUCUGAAGAUGUUUGCUUCAGUGGUGCCCCAUAUAGUAACCAACUUAACUAGCCUUAGAUUUAAAUGAUCAAAGUUAGGGUUUACAUAGAAAACAAUGAUAAGGAAAACAUAGUACUUGGUGAUUAUGUAGUGGGGAUGCAAGUGUGCUGGAAGGAGAGGAAUGGGGAGCAGUUGGAGGGAAGAGCAAGUGAGAAUUACCUCGGAGUUAGAGUCGUAUGACCCUCCUAGCCUAUGGCAGGGACUGGCAACGUCUGUUUCCAUGAAGUCUCCAGAGUUUCCCUGGAGAGAUCCCCUCCUGCAGAAGAAGAGGCAUAGUUCUGUGUAGAGCAUGGUGUCCACCACUUGGCGAUGUUCCUGGUCCAUCCCCUGCACAGUCCAUCUCUAAAAUGAAUGAGGAUCCCCUGCACAGUCCAUCUCUAAAAUGAAUGAGGAUCAAGGUUUUCAAGUUAAAAACAAUAACAAAAACAAAAUUAAAAAAUCGGAAGGAAUUCUUGUAAUGAAAUCUCUGAAACACUUUGGGGAAUAAAGCAGCAUUUCUUGAGCGUCCCUCUUACAAAAUAUGGCUCAAAAGGAGAGAGGAACUAUUUCCUUUCUCAGGGUAAUAUGCUCUGCACUUACAGCUAUGUCAGAGGCAGGAGUGGAUGUUCUUAGGGGAAACAGCAGCACCUGGUGGGAAAGUGAUAACUCACCAGGGUCCUAUAGGUACUUAGGAAUUCCAUGGAGCAGUAACAGAGGAAACCAGCAGAAAAUUGACUUGCUUGUGAGAACAAGUUAUUCAUCUCCUUGGAGAUCCCAGCAAUGUUUGUCUGGGGAGGGGAACAGACUUUUUAGAGGAUUAGAUAUCAGAAUCAAUGCAAUUGCCUUUAUUUUUAUUACUAUAAUCCCACAUGUACCACAGUCUCUUAAAGCAUAAAUAAUUUUCAGUUUCAGGUAAAUCUUUUUUUUUUUUUUUAGGGCCACACCCACAGUGUAUGGAGGUUCCCAGGCUAUGGGUUGAAUUGGAGCUGUAGCUGAUGCCCUAUGCCUCAGCCACAGUAAUGUCAGAUCCAGGCCUCCUCUGUGACCUACACCACAGCUCAUGGCAACACUGGAUCCUUAACCCACUGAGUGAGGCCAGGGAUUGAACCUGCAUCCUCAGGUUCAUUUCCACUGCAUCACAAGGGGAACCCCCUAAGAUUUUUUAUGAAGAAGAAAAUUCUAGAAAUUUAUUUUGAGCAGUCACUGAAAAAGGCAAAACAGAGAUUGGAAUGAGCUCUCAUGGAUGCUUUUGGGACGUCUGCAUGAUCUUGCUUUCUUAAAGGCAACCACGACUUUCCUUAAGUAUUUGCAAGCAGAAAACACAUACGGAGAGAUCUAGAGAUCUGGCUCCUAUUUAGCCAACAUAACUAUUAAAGCAUUUUCACCAUCCUUAGUAUCAUGAGCAUUUAAUUAAGUACUUAGCAUGUGCCAAGCUUUAUACUACAUGAUCUUUUUAUUCAUUGAUUUGAGUCUCCAAACAACCCAAUGAAUAAAGUGUUUUAAUUCCAUUUUUCAAAUGAGAAAAUUACAAAUAAGUAAUAUUUAGAUGUUCACAGCUAUGAUAAGCGGCAGAGCAAGGAUCUGAUCUCAGGUAGUCUGACCAUGGUGACUGUCUUAUUCAUGAAGGCUUUAUCCUGCCUCCUAGCAGCUCCUGGUUAUUGAAUUCCACGUACUGUAUAUGUCUACCUGAGAGGAAUGGUGGAAUUCAUUCUUCUUGUUCUAUAUUUUCCUGGUUAAGGGAUUCUGCUAUUGUCUCUCAAAGAAAAGUUGGAGCCAAGUUGUUUAUGGACUUGCUUCAAGU